CCCUUAGAUGUUCUGGGCUGCACGCGCGCUACACUGAUACUUUCAGCGAGUCCACCACCUUGCCUGGAAAGGUGGGGUAACCUCUGGAAAGUGCAUCGUGAUGGGGAUCGAUUAUUGUAAUUAUUAAUCUUCAACGAGGAAUUCCUAGUAAGCAUGUGUCAUCAGCCCGUGCUGAUUACGUCCCUGCCCUUUGUACACACCGCCCGUCGCUCCUACCGAUUGAGUGGUCCGGUGAGGCUUUGGGAGAGCCGGAUGGACUGUGUUUCACAGACUAUUUGGCUUGAACUUAGUCAAACCUUACUACUUAGAGGAAGGAGAAGUCGUAACA
Molecule: ribosomal RNA, 328 nt
Filed under: uncultured eukaryote
Lineage: Eukaryota
Description: partial 18S ribosomal RNA
Rfam family: Eukaryotic small subunit ribosomal RNA
Source: RNAcentral